Long non-coding RNA from Coturnix japonica (Japanese quail), 597 nucleotides. RefSeq lists it as uncharacterized. NCBI's taxonomy places the organism in Eukaryota, Metazoa, Chordata, Aves, Galliformes, Phasianidae. The record is from RefSeq and is a predicted model, not a curated record.
UAGGAGGAUGGUACCAUCGUCCCUGAUCAAAGGCUGCUGAAUAUUCACAAGCAUUCCUGGAUCAAGAAGACCCGCAGACCUGUUGAAAAUCGGAUCUGAAUCAUCUGUCACUGUAGGCUCUUUACUACCAUCUUCAGGAAGGGGAAGACUGAAGUAUGCUAUUUGUGGAUCUGACUUCAGAAAAGUGCGCACCUGAAUCCACUACACUGCUUCCGCACUGAAGGACAUCAAUAUCAAUACUGUGACACUGCAUUGUGAACCUAUGUUUGCCCAGGUAAGCUCUAUCACUGCACAUCUGUAAAUCUUUACUAGAUAUGAAAUCUUGGCACGCCUCACAAGCACUAGCUUAAUUAUUUGUGUAUGCCUUCUCAUAAUUGGAACUUCAGUGAGAGGUAAUGAAUGCAACUGAAUGCAUAAGGAACAUGAAGACAGUGUGAUUUAGGACUGGCUAUCAUAACCUACAAUUGUUAUCAUCUAAUCCAUGUUACAAAAUUAUCGUAAUUCCUGAUGUCUUAAAAGAAUCCUACAUUUAAAGUACUGAAAAGUCAAAAACUGAAAUAGAAAAAUCUGUGGUUAAUCUUAUUUACCAUAUUUACC